RNAcentral lists this ribosomal RNA (301 nucleotides) under uncultured bacterium. RNAcentral describes it as "partial 16S ribosomal RNA". It matches the Rfam family "Bacterial small subunit ribosomal RNA", at positions 509 to 807 of the family's 1533-position model. The record is from RNAcentral.
CAGCAGCCGCGGUAAUACGAAGGGGGCUAGCGUUGCUCGGAUUUACUGGGCGUAAAGGGCGUGUAGGCGGCCUGGGGCGUCCCAUGUGAAAGGCCACGGCUCAACCGUGGAGGAGCGUGGGAUACGCUCAGGCUAGAGGGUGGGAGAGGGUGGUGGAAUUCCCGGAGUAGCGGUGAAAUGCGCAGAUACCGGGAGGAACGCCGAUGGCGAAGGCAGCCACCUGGUCCACUUCUGACGCUGAGGCGCGAAAGCGUGGGGAGCAAACCGGAUUAGAUACCCGGGUAGUCCCUGUCUCUUAUAC